This 253-nucleotide ribosomal RNA is filed under the name uncultured bacterium. Its description in RNAcentral is "partial 16S ribosomal RNA". It matches the Rfam family "Bacterial small subunit ribosomal RNA", at positions 524 to 776 of the family's 1533-position model. The record is from RNAcentral.
UACGUAGGUGGCAAGCGUUGUCCGGAUUUACUGGGCGUAAAGAGCGCGCAGGCGGUCGUUCAAGUCGCGUGUGAAAGCCCCCGGCUCAACUGGGGAGGGUCACGCGAUACUGAUCGACUCGAAGGCAGGAGAGGGAAGUGGAAUUCCCGGUGUAGUGGUGAAAUGCGUAGAUAUGCGGAGGAACACCGAUGGCGAAGGCAAUCCCCUGGGCCUGCACUGACGCUCAUGCACGAAAGCGUGGGGAGCAAACAGG